Molecule: ribosomal RNA, 429 nt
Filed under: Chloroflexota bacterium
Lineage: Bacteria; Bacillati; Chloroflexota
Description: Chloroflexi bacterium partial 16S ribosomal RNA
Rfam family: Bacterial small subunit ribosomal RNA
Source: RNAcentral
UGGGGAAUAUUGCACAAUGGGCGCAAGCCCGAUGCAGCCAUCCCGCGUGUGUGAAGAAGGCCUUUGGGUUGUAAAGCACUUUCAGCGGGGAGGAAGGCGAUAAGGUUAAUAACCUUGUCGACUGACGUUACCCGCAGAAGAAGCACCGGCUAACUCCGUGCCAGCAGCCGCGGUAAUACGGAGGGUGCAAGCGUUAAUCGGAAUUACUGGGCGUAAAGCGCACGCAGGCGGUCUGUCAAGUCGGAUGUGAAGUCCCCGGGCUUAACCAGGGAGCUGCAUUCAAAACUGGCAGGCUAGAGUCUUGUAGAGGGAGGUAGAAUUACAGGUGUGGCGAUGAAAUGCGUGGAGAUCUGGGGGAAUACCGGUGGCGAGGGCGGCCACCUGCACGGAAACUGACGCACAGGUGCGAAAGCGUGGGGGGCAAGCAGG